AAUUUAGUGGCGACGACGAUUGUGGGACUAGGAAGGGGUAGAACUUGAGGGCAAGGUGCCUUUAGGGGUGGAGCCUAGACUUCACCUUCAAGGAUGCAAGAGCCAAAGAUUUUAGAGUGUCAACUGGGAGUGCAAAGAGGGGGUGAGUGAUCUAACACAAAGCGACAACAUCGGCUGAGGAGAGCAGUGGAAAGCACAGCACGAGGAUAUGGUCGUUAAGCACUGUGACGUCACCAAUGACGUUGGGCAAGGUCAGGAGCGGCCGGCGCCGCCUCAGUGUCGGGCUGACAGCCAGCAGACGUAGUUCCUUAGGCGGUGUCCCGCUUCUUACAUCAUUUGCAGCUGCACCGGUCAUCAGGUGGGUGUGGAUUUGUGAUGUAAUUCGCGGAACCAAUUUCAUCUGAAUUACUUUGGUUAAGACCGGGUAUUUGGGUCUGGCUCGACAAUGGCCACUAGUCUUCUUGAGAAAUAACUUAAAGUGAACGGAGGACUAGUCAGUCACACAAGGAACGGAAAUAGUUCAGACGUGACGUAGCUGCAAGUCUCGAUAGAGGUGGUUGGACGGUGUUGAACACGGGGCGACUGACAACGUUGCAGGAGUAUCUGAAAGAAAA
This is a non-coding RNA of Procambarus clarkii (red swamp crayfish), 614 nucleotides long. The record is from RefSeq and is a predicted model, not a curated record. NCBI's taxonomy places the organism in Eukaryota, Metazoa, Arthropoda, Malacostraca, Decapoda, Cambaridae.